GACGAACGCUGGCGGCGUGCUUAACACAUGCAAGUCGAACGGAAAGGCCCUGCUUGCAGGGUACUCGAGUGGCGAACGGGUGAGUAACACGUGGGUGAUCUGCCCUGCACUUCGGGAUAAGCCUGGGAAACUGGGUCUAAUACCGGAUAGGAGCCAUUUUUAGUGUGAUGGUUGGAAAGUUUUUUCGGUGUAGGAUGAGCUCGCGGCCUAUCAGCUUGUUGGUGGGGUAAUGGCCUACCAAGGCGGCGACGGGUAGCCGGCCUGAGAGGGUGGACGGCCACAUUGGGGCUGAGAUACGGCCCAGACUCCUACGGGAGGCAGCAGUGGGGAAUAUUGCACAAUGGGCGCAAGCCUGAUGCAGCGACGCCGCGUGGGGGAUGACGGCCUUCGGGUUGUAAACUCCUUUCGCUAGGGACGAAGCUUUUUGUGACGGUACCUAGAGAAGAAGCACCGGCUAACUACGUG
This 465-nucleotide ribosomal RNA is filed under the name uncultured bacterium. RNAcentral describes it as "partial 16S ribosomal RNA". It matches the Rfam family "Bacterial small subunit ribosomal RNA", at positions 28 to 507 of the family's 1533-position model. The record is from RNAcentral.